This 158-nucleotide unclassified non-coding RNA is filed under the name Pseudopyrenochaeta lycopersici. Its description in RNAcentral is "ITS2". Lineage: Eukaryota; Fungi; Ascomycota; Dothideomycetes; Pleosporales; Pseudopyrenochaetaceae. The record is from RNAcentral.
UGUACCCUCAAGCUCUGCUUGGUGUUGGGUGUUUGUCCCGCUUUGCGCGUGGACUCGCCUCAAAGCAAUUGGCAGCCGGCAAUCUGGUUAUAGAGCGCAGCACAUUUUGCGCUUCUUGCCACGGAUGUCGGCGUCCAUCAAGCCUACACUUUUGCUCU